UAUUCAGCGUGUCAAGAACAUAAAGAAAUGAUAAAUGCACAAUGGAACAACACACCAAAGAACAAUGGAGGAGAUGAAGAAAAUUUUACUCAAAGGAAUUCCUAGGGAAGCUACAAGCAGCGGGAAGACUCAGAAAGCCUGUUCCUUGUUGGAGAACUCGGAAGGUGGAGGGAGAAACAUGAGGGGAGAGCCUGGAAAUAGCCACGAAUCACCAUGUGGAUAAAGUGCCUUGGACAUUUGGAACAGAGUUUUACAAGAAAAGAUGAGAAGAGCAGCUAUUCUUCUAUGCUGAUAAAAGGUGUAAGAAAUAAACCACGUUAAGAGGCUUAAA
Molecule: long non-coding RNA, 331 nt
Organism: Hyaena hyaena (striped hyena)
Lineage: Eukaryota; Metazoa; Chordata; Mammalia; Carnivora; Hyaenidae
Exons: 3
Source: RefSeq, a predicted model, not a curated record